CCUCCUCACUCUUAGAAUUUAUCUGCGUUCUCCACUAAAUAAUUGCUUGCUGGAUUAUCUAUUGUUGUUUGAUUGAUUUAAUCUCACUGAUAAAAAUGUGGAUACGUUUCAUAAAUUAAUACGCUGAGGCGAUGUGACGUAGGCAGUCAGCCUCUGUUGUGAGAAACCAGUGGUAAAUAUGCUGUAGUACUUGGUGUCAUUGACCUUGUCUGUUUUGGUGGCUGGGUAAAUGACAGCCUUGUUUGUUUCUCUUUCCAUAGGAUACAUUUGCCUCAGCUGUAUUGCACCCAUAGCCUACAGUGUUUAUUUUUUUGUCUUGGAAACCAUGAAAUGAAAUAACACAUCAAAGUGCAUCUGAAGUCAUGUGAUUAAGGCUCCAUUUUACGAUGAUGGAAGAUAAAGAGGAUUAAAGCCCCAAGACGACGAAGAAGAUUUGACAUCAAACUCCCAGGAGACUUUUCUUAGCACAGCAUCUUUAUUGAAAUUUGUUUCUUUUAGAUAACGUGAUUUCUCAUCAGCUACAGAGGCAUGUUGUACACAGCAUGCACUAUUCACACACAAUAAACAAACAAUCAAACAAACAAACAAACCAACAAUCAACCAAACAAUGACAUGUCCACCGUCCCAUGAAAACAUAGUUGUUUACUAUACUGUAGUCGCCAUUCAAUUACUUCGAUUUGAAGAUUUUUGAGUUAAUAUAUGCACCUAUGAAUUAGCAGAAUGCAUACAGUACCAGAAGCGCAACUUUUGCCAUGUUACACUGUGUCUGAGGCAUAUGAAGGUCAUGAAGAGAUAUAAAACUGGACUAUUGCCAUUUCGACUUUACACACUUGCUGGCCCCUAUAUCGAUAGUAUUGGUCAAAGAGUAGCAGAAAUAGCCGAUAGUUAGCUCAUUUACACUGGAGGGGUUCAAAAGGGAACUUGACUGUAUGUAGCUAUGUUUUAAUGUAUGCUGUUUAAAAACAAGCUUUCCCUCUAAGACAUUCAAACUGACAUUUAUUUAUUUCAACUCAUACUGUGAAAUGCUCUCACUUUACAGGUAACACAUUUGACAGCCAAAUGGAAUUGAUCUAUAUAGAGUGAGUUCAAUGACAUACACGUAGAUCUGCCUCACAUUCUCCUGAACACUGUGCCUCUUCUGACGACUCUAGCAUUGUGUCACGUGUAGGCUACAGUACAUGAGUACAGUCCCCCACAGGCAGACGAGUCUAGUCGAGUAUCUUUAGUGCAACGCAAGGGGUCUACUGAGGUACCUGUAGAGGUGGAGAAAUCCCAGAUUCAAAGAGUAAAACAAUCUGCCAUGUUUUUGCCCCAUACAUACACUGUCUACUUCCACCCAUGGUUGUGCCGAUUAGCAAACUUGGAUGGUUGACUUAAAAAAUAACCUGUAGCACAUGUCUACUUCCUGAUGUCCACUUCCUGACAUGUAGCAAGAAGCUAAGGGUGGGAGGAGCAAACGAGCAUCUGUAGCUGCAAACUGCUGGGUUUUCCCCUCCAGGUCUCUCCCGUACCCACAGACAGAACCCCUCCCCUCAGCCCUCACAGCCUACCUGGGCCCCUCUCUCCUGACUGGUUGAUCAGGAGUGCAGCGCAGAGGAACGCAGUCAGGAAGUGGCAAGAGCUGAGAAGAGCUUUUAUGUGUGUGUCUGUCUGAGAGUCUGUACAGUUUCUAUGGAGCCUGGACAGGUAGGGCAGACUCUCAGAUCUGAGAUCACAGACUGGCUACACUGGUCGAUGUAGCCAUAGCUCAGCUCUGAAGGAGCUGCCAGGCUGUGCUGUCAGAUGCUGCAGUGCUCCUGUCUCUAUGUGCAGGACAGUCUGCUCUUGGUAUUUGCCCUUCAUUCAGACACGGCCUAAAUGGAAAUUUACAAGGAAAGUGACGGGCUUUGGAAGUGUAAAAGAUAGGAAAUUGGUUUUGAAUGGUAGUUAGCUUUAGGUCGGACAGUCACCUCUCUCUCUCUCUCUCUCUCUCUCUCUCUCUCUCUCUCUCUCUCUCUCUCUCUCUCAGACUGUCUCUAACAUACCCUUGUUCUUUUCUUCACUCUACAUUCUACACUUUCAUACUCUUGUUCCUUCCUGGCCUCUCUUCUAUAGUUGAAUUUUUAGAGAUAUUUAAGUAUUCAGUAUAAUAAACAAUCUGUAAAUACAAUGCUUAAAACACUCAAGGUAGCAAGCAAACACAUAGGUCAAUAAAUAGAUAAAUAAAUAAAUAGAUAGAUAGAUAGAUAAAUAAAUAAAUCAUCUCAAAAAAUAUUUAAAAUAAAAACAUUCAUUACAUUUCAUGACAACUCAUUACUGCAAUAAAUAAAAAAAAACAGUAGUCAAAUAAAUAUCCAACAUAAUCAAUUGCUUUAAAUGAAUUAACUUAUUGUGGUGGACUGUAUAAAAAUAGUACCUACUCUAGUACUCCAGCCUCACCCCUAUGCAUUUUUGCACUAUUCUGUGGGAAUACAUCUAUCAUGUACAGCCAGUGGAGAAAUCACUACAGACACAAUGACAAGAGACAGUGGGAACGACACACAAAAAUGUCUUAACCAUGUGGAGGGUGAUACAGAUUGGAAAAUCUUCAAAGUCUACACGUAAAUAUGCUUUGUUUUAAAAACAACACACUUGGAUGAUAAUGCCUGCUCGUUUCCCCCUCGAGGAGCAGUUGCCUUCCUUGGGGCAGCUUCCAUACUUCAGGUUAAUGCGGCUGUGGAAACUGUGCAUUUCUCUGCUAUGCCCCUCAGCAUAUACGUUAUACACGUUAUAUUCACUGGGGUUUGGGUGGAGGCCCUCUGGGUAUAUGUGCCAGCAGCCUUCAUUAAUCUUAAACAGCUCCUGUUGCUGAGUUGUGUCUUUCUUUUACCACAGGGAGGAAGGCAGGAGGGGCCUUGUGCCAGCGUGAGAUAUUGUCAAGGGGCUGCAUAAUAUACACAUAGGAUUGAUUUGCUCUGGUGUAGAAAAAACAAAUGAAAUGAAAAGGAUAUUUUUUUUGAUUGCUGUUUUUUUGUCGUUGAUGUUCUUUAAGGCUCGGCCAUGUGUGUGUGUGUCGGUAUGGGUAACAGACAUCGGCACUUGCGCCUGGUUCAAGGAGCAGGGCUUGAGAGUGUGUGUUCACAUGGUCCCGGCUGGAUGCCUCGGUGCAUUUAGAGGCGCCCCUCCACUAAAAACUGCUCCCUUUAGAACCAGCCUACCUGUGCCUACCCUGGAUCUGACUGAGGGUGGGUGUCCAAGUUUACAGAAUGAAAAAAGGGGGAAAAAAACACAGGUUUAUCCAGAGCUACAGUACACAGUAUGUCAAGGUGCACUUCCCACACACUCAGUCAAACAGCACACCCUAGUGGCCAAAAGAAACACUGCAUGCUCUCCAUGAGCCCCCACGGUCAGUCUUAUGAUUUACUCCAGCCGGAAAUAUGGGAGUUUAGAGCAUUAGAGAGCCUGCCAAUGCUAAGCAUUAAGCCACAGUGUCUGCCACAGUUAAGCUCUCUCUACAUGUAUUCUAUGUACAUCAUAAAACUACAAAGUAUUGAAAUUAGGGAGUAUAGAGGUUCAGAGUUUGGCGAGCAGAAGGGAGAUCUAGAGACUAGGAAGAGAUAGGAGGAUUCUGGACCAAGAGGGGUUCUAUUUGGGGAGGGUCGGAUGGGGGGGAGUAGUUAUGAGAAACUGAUAGGCAGCAUGCUGAUGAACACAGGAGACCCUGGAAGAGCUGGUCAUCUAGGGAGAGAAAGAAAAAGAGAGAGAG
Long non-coding RNA from Clupea harengus (Atlantic herring), 3724 nucleotides. Lineage: Eukaryota; Metazoa; Chordata; Actinopteri; Clupeiformes; Clupeidae. The record is from Ensembl.